AUACGUAGGGGGCGAGCGUUGUCCGGAAUUAUUGGGCGUAAAGGGCGCGUAGGCGGCGCGGUAAGUCUGGAGUGAAAGUCCUGCUUUCAAGGUGGGAAUUGCUUUGGAUACUGCCGCGCUUGAGUGCCGGAGAGGUUAUCGGAAUUCCCGGUGUAGCGGUGAAAUGCGUAGAGAUCGGGAGGAACACCAGUGGCGAAGGCGGGUAACUGGACUGCAACUGACGCUGAGGCGCGAAAGUGUGGGGAGCAAACAGGAUUAGAUACCCUGGUAGUCCACACUGUAAACGAUGAAUGCUAGGUGUAAGAGGUAUCGACCCCUUUUGUGCCGGAGUCAACACAAUAAGCAUUCCGCCUGGGGAGUACGGCCGCAAGGUUGAAACUCAAAUGAAUUGACGGGG
Molecule: ribosomal RNA, 397 nt
Filed under: uncultured bacterium
Lineage: Bacteria
Description: partial 16S ribosomal RNA
Rfam family: Bacterial small subunit ribosomal RNA
Source: RNAcentral